This is an RNA transcript of Magnolia sinica, 3739 nucleotides long. It is a transcript of the gene named U-box domain-containing protein 4-like, with no coding region annotated. The transcript is spliced from 6 exons. The record is from RefSeq and is a predicted model, not a curated record. NCBI's taxonomy places the organism in Eukaryota, Viridiplantae, Streptophyta, Magnoliopsida, Magnoliales, Magnoliaceae.
CCUUUGCAUUUUGACGCUUUUCUCACUGUCUUCAAACCCCUCUCCUCUCCCAAACUCCUGCAAUUCUAUCAUAUCAAUCCACGAAAUGAAAAACCCAGAUCCGAUUUUCAACGAUAUUCUCUAAAAUCAAGAAAAAAUUUCGAUCGAUUCGACGGCCUGGGGCGGGUGGGAAGCCUUUUCUGGAGCUGGGUUUGGGUAGAAGCGAUUAGAGAUUUCAAAAUCACACGAAAAUCUCAUUUGACUUUUGUUUUUUGAAGGAUUUGGGAUCUGGGUUUGAUCGGAAUAGAGUGGAGAUGGAUUGCUUGAGUUGGUUUGGAUUGAUUCGGCGGACCUCUGGAGAAGCAAUGUGAAACGGGUUGGGUUGGAAUUUUGGAGUUUGAGGGUGUUUGUUUUGGACAAAAAAGGUGUGAUGGAGAUAUCGUGGUUAAAGGCUUUGCUUGACAGCAUCUCUCAAUUCAGUCUUUCUUCAUCAUCAUGUAACAAUAUAACAUCUGAACCGGUUCGGAAAUACUACCAAAAGAUAGAUGAAGCUUUGGAGCUCUUGAGGCCAGUGCUUGAUGAAAUUGUCGAUUCCGAGAUAGCUUCAGAUGACCACCUCAGUAAGGCAUUGGAAGAAAUGGAUGCAUUUGUCAAUGAAGCGAGGGAACUCAUUGAAAGCUGGCACCAGAUGAUGAGUAAAGUUUAUUUUGUUUUGCAAAUCGAAUCAACAAUAGCAAAGAUUCAGACAUCCGGGUCAGAGAUUUGCAGGAUAGUGGAUUCUUUGCUUCAGUCUCUGGCUGACUGUUCAAAUACAGCAUUUGUUCAGAACCAUAUACAGAAAAUUCAGUGCACUGAAUAUGAAAAAACAUCUGAUGCAAUCGAAGAAGCCAUGCAUGAUCUACAAGAGGAUGCCACACCAAACUUGGAGACCUUGUCGAAGAUCACGGACACCUUGAACUUGAGGUCGAAUCAGGAACUGCUACUGGAAGCUGUGGCCCUCGAGAUGGCAAAGUCCGAUCGCGACAGGAAUGACGGAGAGGCGGAACGCAUUGAUAAUAUGAUCUCGCUGGUCACGCACAUGCAUGACUCCCUCAUGAAAGUAAAACAAUCUCAGACUGUUAAUGGGGUGCCGAUUCCGGCCGAUUUCUGCUGUCCGCUUUCUCUCGAGCUGAUGUCCGACCCAGUGAUUGUUGCAUCCGGGCAAACCUAUGAGCGGGCCUUCAUUCGGAGAUGGCUCGAUCAGGGCUUUAUGGUUUGCCCCAAGACACGUCAAACUCUUGCUCAUACCAAUCUAAUUCCGAAUUAUACCGUUAAAGCGCUAAUAGCAAACUGGUGUGAGAUAAACAACAUAAAGCUUCCUGAUCCGAUGAAGUCAGUGACAUUAAACCAGCCCUUGGCUCUUCUUGCCCAUCCAGAUGGCAGCACUGGAGAUUCCCAUAUCCUUCCUCAUACGGGCCAUGCCUCCAGAACGAACCAUCCCAGAUCACCUGAAUCGAUUCGGUCCAUGAAUUUGCAUAAGAGCUUCACUUCGUCUAAUGGGGCCCAGUCAAAUAACAGACCUGUCUCUCCUUCACGUCCUGAUUCAUGCAUGGAAGGUACGUUGGUUAGUCGGCCAGGCGCAUCUUUGGUUGCAGGGAAUGGGGUUGAGACAGAUAUCGUCCGGGUAUCGCAAGUAGGUUCUGGAGAUGCAGAAGUGAUAUCGGAAGAGCAAGAUGUGGGUUCAGUGGGCCAAACUAGUGCAGUCAAUGAGCAGUCUCAGGGCCAUAACCGAACUGCUUCUGCCCCGAGCGUUGUUUCUAGUAGUGAGUAUCAUCAGGGAUCGGGAGAUGCCAGUGAGGGCCCACCUGUUUCAGGCGACCUCACGCAUUACAGCAGUGACACGUCUGGGGAACUGACAUCAGAGGCCCCCGCACCAUCUGCUCCACGUAGAGAACCUGAAUUCUCACCCAGGUUGUCUGAGAUGCGGUCAACUAGAAGCCAGAUCAUUUGGCCAAGGCCACUGGAAAGGUUUGUCCCGAGGAUUAUUUCUUCUCCGUCUUUGGAUAUGAGACCUGACCUCUCUGGCGUUGAAGCCCAGGUUCGGAACUUGAUCGAAGACCUGGAGAGCAGCUCGGCUGAUGUUCUAAGGGCAGCCACGCAUGAGCUUCGCCUUCUUGCAAAGCACAACAUGGACAACCGCAUCGUGAUAGCCAACUGUGGGGCCAUCACCCAUCUGGUCCAUCUGCUGCACUCGACGGACUUGAAGACCCAAGAGAACGCUGUGACUGCGCUGCUGAACCUAUCGAUCAACGAUAACAACAAGAUGGCAAUUGCCGAUGCGGGGGCCAUCGACCCGCUUAUCCACGUCCUCAAGAUGGGGAAUGCGGAAGCGAAAGAGAACUCUGCUGCGACCCUUUUCAGCCUCUCUGUCAUUGAGACGAACAAGGUCAAGAUCGGGCGGUCUGGCGCGGUCGAGCCCCUCGUGGAAUUGCUGGGCAACGGAACUCCUCGAGGGAAGAAGGAUGCUGCAACGGCUCUGUUUAACUUAUCCAUAUUUCACGAGAACAAGCUCCGUAUUGUGGAUGCCGGGGCUGUGAAGUACCUUGUUGAGCUGAUGGACCCCGCUGCAGGUAUGGUAGAUAAGGCGGUUGCUGUUUUGGCUAACCUUUCCACCAUACAGGAGGGGCGGACUGCAAUUGGCCAGGAAGGGGGAAUCCCGGUUCUUGUGGAGGUUGUUGAGUUGGGAUCAUCAAGAGGGAAGGAGAAUGCUGCAGCGGCUUUGCUACAGCUUUGUACAAACAGCAAUCGAUUCUGUACUCAGGUUCUCCAGGAAGGUGCCGUGCCGCCAUUGGUGGCAUUGUCGCAGUCUGGGACUCCGCGAGCCAGAGAAAAGGAUGAGUGAAUCAGCCUAUUUUCAUUCAAGGCGAUCUUCUUGGUGUGGCCCACCCUCUGCACGACUCAGAUGUCCAAAAAUGUGGAACAUGCUGGUGGGAAUGUUGGGGCUGCAUGCGCAACAUCUUCUUACCUAUUUCAGACAGCGACAUGGUAAUGCUGCGAGGUCUUGAUAUAUGGCAGAAUGUCCGUGCCCAGCUGCUGUCUCUCUUUCUCUCUCUCUUUAUGUCUGAACCAUGUAUAUCUAUCGGUGCUCUGGGCCAUGUGUUUGGUAGGUACGAAAAAAGCAUGAAUUCCGCCGAAUGUUGCAGGGCUAGACCCGUGUUAGUUCUGCACCGUUGAGAAAAUGACAGUGAUUCAUCCUCCUCACAUGUGGCACUAGCGUACAGCUAUCCAGACCAUCCAAAUUGUGGGUCCCAUCGUGGAUGGAUCAUCUCUCUAAAAUCACUUGUUCAUCCAAUUGAUGGUUAAAAAGUAAAAUGGUGAGUGGUCCAAAUUCAGAGGGAGAAAUCAAAUGGCUAAUGAUAUCAUCUAAGUGCAAUUUUUUGGUUAUCCUUGAUCCACAGUUGGGUCAGCGAAUUGGGUGGUCUGGGUUGCCGUAUUGCUAUGCCAGUUGUAGGUUUGAAGAAUCACUACCAUUUACAUGUUGGGGUCCAGCCACUGUCGCAAUGCUAGCCGUGAAAAAAAAGAAAAGAAUAGAAAAAAAGAAUGAGCUUUUUUGGGUGUCUUUGAUUUGUAAAAACGAUUUGUAGAGCGUUGGUUCGAAGUCCGCUGAUUAUUUCUUCCGAAUGAAUCGGUGUAUGUGCAAUAUGUAUGUGGUGAAAACUACAACAUGACUGUCGCUGUUUUCAGCUUUGUAAUAUGAUGGGUGAUUAGUAAUUCUUUUGUA